Molecule: long non-coding RNA, 158 nt
Organism: Anoplophora glabripennis (Asian longhorned beetle)
Lineage: Eukaryota; Metazoa; Arthropoda; Insecta; Coleoptera; Cerambycidae
Exons: 3
Source: RefSeq, a predicted model, not a curated record
CAAGUAGCAACCCAGUGUGUGUUUAUGUGACGUGCAAUAACUUAUUAUGUACUUGUGCGUGAGGAUACCGCUGCAAAUGUCUAUGUGAAACUACGCCUUCAAAAAGGUGACUUCAAUGAUGAUGAACUUAAAUAACUAUCUCUUCGUAACAUAAAGGU